Long non-coding RNA from Ictalurus punctatus (channel catfish), 591 nucleotides. NCBI's taxonomy places the organism in Eukaryota, Metazoa, Chordata, Actinopteri, Siluriformes, Ictaluridae. The record is from Ensembl.
GCCUCUCACAAUGCGUCAUGGUCGAAAACCCACCCUUUCCUUUCGUUGCUACGGACUACAGAGUGUGACGCUGGGCUAUCGAGACUGUGUGCAGGUGUGAUGUGCUGCCCAAUCUCAGUGCGCUGUGCCGUCAAGGCUCCCAACUGUGUAGCAUGCUAGUUUAACGUAGCUCCGGUCGGAGCUCCAGCUGUCGUCGUCACAACUAUUAAAGACGCUAUCAUGACUUUCGUAUGUACCAUCGUGAGUAUCAUGUCAUCGGAUCACGCUGGUGGUGUCUAUUAGCCUGCCCUUCAUACAGGAAGCCUCAGUCCUCCUAUGGUUAACUUUCACUUGUGACUUUAUUUGACCAAUGCCUGACUGCUUUGGAUGUUUCUUCUAAAAUAAUUCUUGGCCAGUCUUAAACUUAAAAAAAUUUUUUUUUUUUUUUUAAUAAAUGGAAACCCAGCCUCUUGCCGGUUCUAAGUGGAAUGUACUUGCACUUGCGUGUUCUUAUUUGGGUUAUUUUCCCCGUUUUCUCGGGGUGGUAUAGUUGGUAUACUAACGAAACAAACGAGCUGCAUAGCUACACGUAGUUGUAGAGCUAAACAAGCC